This 263-nucleotide ribosomal RNA is filed under the name uncultured bacterium. RNAcentral describes it as "partial 16S ribosomal RNA". It matches the Rfam family "Bacterial small subunit ribosomal RNA", at positions 793 to 1055 of the family's 1533-position model. The record is from RNAcentral.
GUCCACUCCCUAAACGAUGUCAACUAGUUGUCGGGGAAGUUAUUCCUUGGUAACGAAGCUAACGCGUGAAGUUGACCGCCUGGGGAGUACGGCCGCAAGGUUAAAACUCAAAGGAAUUGACGGGGACCCGCACAAGCGGUGGAUUAUGUGGAUUAAUUCGAUGCAACGCGAAAACCUUACCUACCCUUGACAUGUCAGGAACCUCGCAGAGAUGUGAGGGUGCCCGAAAGGGAACCUGAACACAGGUGCUGCAUGGCUGUCGU